Molecule: ribosomal RNA, 211 nt
Organism: Toxoplasma gondii ME49
Lineage: Eukaryota; Apicomplexa; Conoidasida; Eucoccidiorida; Sarcocystidae
Source: RefSeq, a predicted model, not a curated record
CCGGAAGGUGGGUUGGUUCUGUAUCUAAUAACCACUGCCCUUCCAGGGGAAGAGGCAUGUGCGCAUGUAUUAGCCAUAGAAUUCCCACGGGUAUCCAUGUAGUAAAGACCAUCAAAUAACCUAUAACUGUUUUAAUGAGCCAUUCGCAGUUUAGCCGUAUAAAAGCUUAUACUUAGACAUGCAUGGCUUAUUCUUAAAGACAAGCAUAUGA